This 367-nucleotide ribosomal RNA is filed under the name uncultured soil bacterium. RNAcentral's name for it is "bacterial SSU rRNA". It matches the Rfam family "Bacterial small subunit ribosomal RNA", at positions 26 to 414 of the family's 1533-position model. The record is from RNAcentral.
AGAACGAACGCUGGCGGCAUGCCUAACACAUGCAAGUCGAACGAGACCUUCGGGUCUAGUGGCGCACGGGUGCGUAACGCGUGGGAAUCUGCCCUUGGGUUCGGGAUAACAGUUGGAAACGACUGCUAAUACCGGAUGAUGUCUUCGGACCAAAGAUUUAUCGCCCAAGGAUGAGCCCGCGUAGGAUUAGCUUGUUGGUGAGGUAAGAGCUCACCAAGGCGACGAUCCUUAGCUGGUCUGAGAGGAUGAUCAGCCACACUGGGACUGAGACACGGCCCAGACUCCGUACGGGAGGCAGCAGGUGGGAAUAGUUGGACAAGUGGGACGAAAGCCUAGAUCCAGGCAAUCGACCGCGGUAGAGUGAGUA